Molecule: small nuclear RNA, 116 nt
Organism: Hyla sarda
Lineage: Eukaryota; Metazoa; Chordata; Amphibia; Anura; Hylidae
Product: U5 spliceosomal RNA
Exons: 1
Source: RefSeq, a predicted model, not a curated record
AUACUGUGGUUUCUCUUCAUUCCCGACUAAAUCUUUCACCUUUUACUAAAGAUUUCCAUGGAGAGGAACAAUUGUAAAUCACUAAAAAAAUUUUGAUGCCCGGUGAUAGCUGAGCU